CCUACGGGCGGCAGCAGUGGGGAAUAUUGGACAAUGGGGGGAACCCUGAUCCAGCCAUGCCGCGUGUGUGAAGAAGGCCCUCGGGUUGUAAAGCACUUUCAGUGAGGAAGAACGCCUGGUGGUUAAUACCCAUCAGGAAAGACAUCACUCACAGAAGAAGCACCGGCUAACUCCGUGCCAGCAGCCGCGGUAAUACGGAGGGUGCGAGCGUUAAUCGGAAUUACUGGGCGUAAAGCGCGCGUAGGUGGCUUGAUAAGCCGGUUGUGAAAGCCCCGGGCUCAACCUGGGAACGGCAUCCGGAACUGUCAGGCUAGAGUGCAGGAGAGGAAGGUAGAAUUCCCGGUGUAGCGGUGAAAUGCGUAGAGAUCGGGAGGAAUACCAGUGGCGAAGGCGGCCUUCUGGACUGACACUGACACUGAGGUGCGAAAGCGUGGGUAGCAAACAGGAUUAGAUACCCCGGUAGUC
RNAcentral lists this ribosomal RNA (465 nucleotides) under Vreelandella stevensii. RNAcentral's name for it is "partial 16S ribosomal RNA". It matches the Rfam family "Bacterial small subunit ribosomal RNA", at positions 338 to 795 of the family's 1533-position model. The record is from RNAcentral. Lineage: Bacteria; Pseudomonadati; Pseudomonadota; Gammaproteobacteria; Oceanospirillales; Halomonadaceae.